This is a small nuclear RNA of Vombatus ursinus (common wombat), 107 nucleotides long. The record is from Ensembl. NCBI's taxonomy places the organism in Eukaryota, Metazoa, Chordata, Mammalia, Diprotodontia, Vombatidae.
AUGCUCACUUCAGUGGCACAUAUACUAAAAUUGUAAUGAUACAGAGAAGAUUAGCAUGGCUCCUGUGCAAGUAUGACAAAUAUGACAAAUAAAUAUGACAAGUAUGA